Molecule: ribosomal RNA, 234 nt
Filed under: uncultured bacterium
Lineage: Bacteria
Description: partial 16S ribosomal RNA
Rfam family: Bacterial small subunit ribosomal RNA
Source: RNAcentral
CGGGACGGGUGGAGUAAUGUCGGGGAAACCGCCCGAUGGGAGGGGGUAACUACUGGAAACGGUAGCUAAUACCGCAUAACGUCGCAAGACCAAAGGGGGGGACCUUCGGGCCUCUUGCCAUCGGAUGUGCCCAGAUGGGAUUAGCUAGUAGGUGGGGUAAUGGCUCACCUAGGCGACGAUCCCUAGCUGGUCUGAGAGGAUGACCAGCCACACUGGAACUGAGACACGGUCCAG